RNAcentral lists this ribosomal RNA (421 nucleotides) under uncultured eukaryote. RNAcentral's name for it is "SSU rRNA". It matches the Rfam family "Eukaryotic small subunit ribosomal RNA", at positions 592 to 1018 of the family's 1831-position model. The record is from RNAcentral.
CAAUAGCGUAUAUUAAAGUUGUUGCGGUUAAAAGCUCGUAGUUGGAUUUCUGUCGAAGACUGCCGGUCCGCUCUAUGAGCGUGUAUCUGGUUAGGCUUUGGCAUCCUCUUGAAGAACGUUGCUGCGCUUGAUUGCGUGGUGCGGUAUUCAAGACUUUUACUUUGAGGAAAUUAGAGUGUUCACGGCAGGCAAGCGCCUUGAAUACAUUAGCAUGGAAUAAUAAUAUAGGAUCUAGGUUCUAUUUUGUUGGUUUCUAGAACUUGGAUAAUGAUUAAUAGGGAUAAUUGGGGGCAUUUGUAUUAACUCGUCAGAGGUGGAAUUCUUGGAUUGAGUUACGACAAACUACUGCGAAAGCAUUUGCCAAGGAUGUUUUCAUUGAUCAAGAACGAAAGUAUGGGGAUCGAAGAUGAUUAGAUACCAU